This 253-nucleotide ribosomal RNA is filed under the name uncultured bacterium. RNAcentral's name for it is "partial 16S ribosomal RNA". It matches the Rfam family "Bacterial small subunit ribosomal RNA", at positions 524 to 776 of the family's 1533-position model. The record is from RNAcentral.
UACGGGGGGGGUAAGCGUUGUUCGGAAUUACUGGGCGUAAAGGGCUCGUAGGCGGCCAACUAAGUCAGACGUGAAAUCCCCAGGCUCAACCUGGGAACUGCGUCUGAUACUGGAUGGCUUGAAUCCGGGAGAGGGAUGCAGAAUUCCAGGUGUAGCGGUGAAAUGCGUAGAUAUCAGGAGGAACACCAAUGGCGAAGGCAGAUCUCUGGGCCGUAACUGACGCUGAGGAGCGAAAGCAUGGGGAGCGAACAGG